AAUCGAUGGAAUAUUCCAGAAUCUACGCAGCAACUUUCGGUCGCUUGGUUCCUUCUUCACGUCACUCGAAACAUGACUAGUUUGUAACGAGAUAGAGAGAGAAAUCCGAUGCGACGGACAAUGCAAAAAUGACGCUUUUCCCCGGUCUAAAAUCAAUACUUGGUGGGAGCGAACUGCGCAGCGUCAUUUUCUAGAAUGUUCCAUGGGGGGAGCAGACGGUAUAAAAGUCGCCAUUGCCCAAAUCGGGACGCAGUUGAAGUGUGAUCGUACGUACGAUUAGUGUUAGUGAGAAGCCCAGAAGCCGCCCAUUCCCAGCAAGAUGGCGCCGGACGAAGAGGACACGUCACAGGAUUUGUAUCCCCUAACUCUCAAAAUUCGUAUCUAGCGUUUUUCUAAUUCUAUACUUCCGCUUGCACUAAUUUUGUUUCUGCGAUUGCUCCACUAAGUCUGGCCAACUUACGGGCGUAAUCCCCUGAAACACAAAAUUAGCAAGUCGCAGUGCCCCCGAUUUUUUCCGUAUGAAAUUUGUUGGUUAAUUUCAGAGAUCGUAAUCCAAUAUGGCGCCUAGGGCGCGGUCGCCAUCAUGCUAAUCAAUAGUCACGUGAUCGAUAGCGCAAAUAGCGAGAGAGAGGGCUAAUAUCGUCGUAAUGUAGUAAAGGUUGAGAAAGGUAGCAAUUUCGGCAAAGGCCUAAGGUCAUGGAGGCCGCACAAUUUUUUUUAAUAGAUUUUUCUAGAUAAGUUGUCAGCAACGGUUGAAGUAAAUGGAAGGCGGGUUUAUUUUACUCGGACAGGAUUCAUCCCUUGGUUAGAGAAUAGAGAUAGAGCCCCAAACGAGCUAAUAUUCGUGACUAAAUGAAUUCUGGACUUUGAGUUUUGAAAUUAGUGACGUGUUACAACCAUAUUCUUGUUAUUAUUAUUACUAACAUCUCUUCUUACCAUUCUCUAUACACUAUUAGUGUUUUUUUUAAUACAUAAAUAACAUGUUUAGGUGAAAAGUCAAACCUGAUGGCGUUUGUAUAACGAAACCCAACUGAUUUUUGAAUAAAGCAUAAUUAAUUUUUACAACUAAUUAGUUAAGUCAAUGAAUCUGUACCAAUUUCCUUGCCUUAGAAACGAUAAAAACAACAAAAGUAAACAAUGCAUUGUUGAAUUGGACUUAAACGGGACAAACGAAUAAAAUUUCGAAGUCCCUUACUUUCAUCAAUCAUCUGUAAAAAGGGGGCCAUACUUUUAAAAAGUAAGUACUCGAUUUUAGAUUAUACCUUAAUCAAGCUUAUUAUUUAUGUUUUACAUAGGAUAGCAUUAACAUAGUUUUAAGACUUUGCGGCGCUGAAUAAACAAAAGCAUGCAUGCAAAAAUUCAAACGAAAAUGCGGAAAACAUAAUUUGCGCCCCCUACAUACCCCCACAAAGGGUGAACAAAUUCUCAUUAUGUAUUAUUGGAUGGUUUUUAUUUCUAAAAAUGUUUCUGUUGCAUGUUUUAAGAGUGGUGUUAUUGUUCGUUUUUUAUGAUUUCCUCGUUUUUUAGCACUAAUGAUAAGCAAAAAAUUAUGGGAAACGACACGGUAAUGGCUUUGCACUCUUGCAUAUUGUUGCACAAUAUUGGAAAGCACUUUAAUGCGUUUAUUAGCGACGAAUUGCGUUUGAACCCCAAAACAAUUAAAAGCGCAUAAUACUAAACGAAUUUGGCGUAUGCGACAUUGAAAUUUUGUACCUUUGCGAAGGUAUUGCGUAAAAAUCUGGCGAUUAUAAACUUGAACUUAUAUAUCCCCUUGAUAUAUAUUUGCGCAACUUGAAUAACGUACAGCGUGGCUGUUGAAUUGUGAUAUUUUAUUCAGACAAUAUGAACAUAACCCCUGGUUUCUCAAUCUUUAAGCGACUUUAUACAUAUACAAGAGCGCAUUAAAUUAAGGUAUUAUAAGGAAUAUAUGCGUAAUGUCUUGUCAAUUACUUAUGCGGCAUUUUAAAUGAAGGCUAGUGCGAAGCGCAUUAUUCAUAUCAAAUGUGUACUAUACAUAUCUAAAUAGACUAAAGAAUUUCAAUAGCGUUAAUAUACUAACAGUGCUUUGAUUAUACAAUCUCAAGGGGAACUGAAUUUGAUCAAUGAAGUUACAAAAAUUAGACCUCCAAACAAGGGCGAUCUAUAAAUUAUCGUUUGUUUUUGAAAGCGAGAUAACGAGCGUUAAAAUAACUCAGGAAUUUUAAAGAAAUCAGUCAGUGAUGAAAAGGUAAACAAAAUUUUACCAACAUUUCGAUCAAUUUUAUUUUGACUUCGCAAAUAAUGAGUUCAUUAUGAAAUAUACGCAGAAACGGUUGAGUGGGAAAUGAAAAUUGACAUCAAAUUUCUGAAAUAAAUUAACUUAAAUAUAAAUGAAGUACAAUUUUAAAUACGUCUCCACAGCAACAAUAAAUUAUGAUAUGAUAAAUGAGUUUUUACAAUGUGACCAAAAUCAAAAUGCUAGCACGAACCUUUUAAUAUUUAUUUGAGGUAUAUUUUUGGGCAUGAAAAAUAUCUUUGGAUGUUUGAAUAUUUCCGCUGUAUUUUUAUGUUGCGUGUGUUAUCCAAAAUUCUCAUAAAAUAUGCGUUGAGCGUACGAAAAACCGAAUUAUUUUUCUGGAAAACCACAAAUGCAAACUUUUACAAUAAUUUAAUAAUGGGUCUGGCAUUCACCAAAUAAAAAACAUAAAUUAAGUAUUGCCUAGACGUCCAACUUUGAAUCUAGUUAGAUAUUUAUAGUAAAGGGACAACAAAUAAACAAUAGUACAAAUUUUGUGAACAAAAUAAUGUGUACACAGAAAUAAUAUCGAUUGACUUAAAUACAACAAAUGUUGACUAUAAAAAAUACAAGUAUACUUUGGAAAUAACACUCAGGUUCAGGUUCCGAAUUUAACAAUUUUCUUUAAUAGUCUGGCGAGUCAAAUGGAUCUAAUACGCCUAGAACUGAGUUUUCUAUUUUAAUGAAUUAAAAAAAUGAAUGUUAUCAGAGGUUUCAUGGUUUUGCGAUUUCUUGAAUAAACACAGUUUUAUGUUUGGAUGACUAUACGAUGAAUUUGGACAAGUGUAAAAAAAUAUGACAAGGUUUUAUGUUAGUGUGGAAUGACAGUAAUUGUAAAUAAUGACAACUUAUUAUGGAGAUUUUAAUAGGACGAAACAGCUUUAAAAGCUUGUAAAUAUAAUUGAAUGAAACUGACUUUUGGUUGAGUCAAGUCAGUACCGCGUGAUGCCACGAAUAAAAUUGUUAUAAUUAUUUUGUGCCAUGAAUGUUUAUAGCAUUAGGUUAAGAUUUCGUAUCCUUUAUAUCCAAAGGCCUAACUUAAAGUUAAAGAAGUACGUAGAAUAAAUUUGAAUGUACAAUGUUGAUGACUGUAAAUGAUUGUACAUAUUUUUUAAGUGGAAUUUUUAUAAAAUCUUAAUUGUAUAGCUAUCAGGCUAAUUUUUAAUUACUAUAAACAAGAAUUAAUCUACUGAUUGAACAAAAACGUUAUUUUGAUGUUUGACUAGCUAACAAUAUCACAAUUAAUUAAUUAGUGUACACUAUACUAGGGUAGGCUUUUUUUUUAUAAUUUUAUUAAUUUAUGCUCAUACUAAUGCGGCUGAACAUUUUACGAUGGAAACUAUCCAUGGAGUUUACAUGAGGAACAAGAAAGUUGUACAUAUUUAGAAAAAAUAGUGUUUGAUGUUAACUGUAUAAAAUAUAAAUUCGUAAUAACUGCGAUGUAUUGGAACUCGAGGUGCAGGGACCGAUUCUAUGUUCGUAAUAAGAAAAAUUUCGACUUAAAAGUUAAUUUUUUGACUAGUGGAGAGAUACAGAGUCGACAAUUUUUUCUAGCUGUGAAACUGAUAAUUUUAAUUUUGCAAAAAAAACUGGAAUUUAAAAUUUUUGGGUAUGACUAUUAAAAGAAUGAAACUAUAAAGCGCAAAAAAUGAAAUAUAAAUUCAAAAGUACAAAUAAAUUUUUAGCGAAUGGGAAGUUGAGCUUGAAAUAUUUUUACGUGUAUCCAAUUGGCUUAAGAAGUAUUAAUAAUAUUGAAAAUCUAUCAAAAUGAAUUAUUAUUCAUAGCGGUAAAAAAGUUUUGUUUGUAAAAAACUAUCUACGGAAAAUUACGGAAAUUUAAACCACUGCGUUUUUAUGACUUGAAAAGGAAUUCAUUCACUUUGGUUGCAUAUGUGACAGUUUUUGAAAAUGUAAAGUAUGGCGAGAGAUAUCAAGAGAAAUUAAACUAUUCAUAAAAUACUACUACUGAUAUAUUCGAACGUAUAAUCCAUAUUUAUUCUGAUUUGUAAAAAUUUUCGAGUGGGUUUGUAAAUGUUUUAAAAAUUGCUUUUCUUUAAAUGCGUGUUUAUAUUUAAGAUGUGAAGUUAUGAAGUGAAUCUUUUUUCAAAUUUUAUCAAAUGCGUUCUCCAGACAAUUAUUGGAAUAUCUGAAAUACAUUGGUAAUUCUGGAUGUUUAAAAUAAGUGCACAUUUUUUUAUAUAAAAUGAUAAUUUUCUUUUGUGUGUAGGGACAGUUGAUUUUAUAAAAUUAGUAACUAGAACGAAUUUGUAGUCAAAAUAAGACAUCGGUUAAAAAGUAUUCUCAAAGAAUUCUGAGAUUAUAAGCAAUAUCUUAUCUAUGUACGGCCAUAGGUUUAAUGUGUGUUGUGUGUAUCAUCACAAAUUUGUGUGGGGUUUAUAUACACCUAAAUCUACUAAAUCCAAACAUAAAUUGUCAAAUAUACUCUGUCGUAACACAAAGAAAUAUAUUCCGAGUUGUUUUUAAUGUCAAGACAGAAAGUCGGCGGUUGUGAAAAUUAAAAAUGAACCAAUUUUGGACGCAAAAUUAUGUUUUGUCAUACAUUGCUCACAAUUGUGUCAAAGCUGAGAUACGUUUUUUUGUAGCUUCGAAGCAAUUCAAAGAUCAUAAGUCAAAUAACAUCACAAAAAUCUGAAAAUAGUUGUGUGUUAAAGGGUUACAAUUUACGUCAAGUAGUUAUUAGGAGGUUUUAAAAUGAAGUUGUUAGGCGACAUUUAAAAUAAGUGCGCAGUGUUUUGAGAGUUGAAACGGUCUAAAUUGAACUUAUACUUUUUAUUUAUAUUGUUUUAUUACAAGUUUUGUUUAUUCGUUAUAGCGCCAAAAAACUACUAGUGUACGUAUUAUAAUUUUAGCAACUGUAGUUUGUAAGUUUGAUAAAUAAUCGAACAUUCGCUAAGUAGAUGUCUGUACAUAUGUAAAACUACAAUGGGUUCUCACAAUCUGGUUCACCAGUUGACUUGUAGAGUGCGCUCGCUAUACGAUUUAGUAAACGUCUACAAUCACACACUUAUGAAAUACUGUAUGUUUAGGAGUAACUAGAAAAAUUAGUAUGAUCUUAUAAAAUGAAAAUCUAUACUCGAUAAUUAUAUGAAGGUAUAACUGUAUCCUCGUAAUAUAGACAUAAUACAAGGGAAAAUGAAGACUAAUAAUUUUUAUCAUGAUUAUAUGACAGUUGGAUAAUCUUGUUUUUUCCACGUGGAAAUAGACUGAUUUUUUUUUUACAAAAGCGCUUAAAACACAAAUACGCACAAUUAGGUUUUAAAAAAUAUAUAGAUUUGGUGUAGAUCAUGGCUUUAGUUUAGUGAAUGAGAAGAAAUCAUCCAACACGCUUUGUUACAAACGCACAUAUUAAAUACAACCGUAAAUUAUUUGAGUGUUAAACGUAACUAACUAUUACAUUGAUGUGUUUGACAACUUAGAAGUCUUGGAAUUACAUAUUAAAACAAGCGAAUUUCAGUAUACAAGUAAUCUUAGUGUACAUACGUUGCUAUGCAACAUUACAUACACCGUACAAUAUAAAUUGGUUCUACCCAACAAAUGAACAAUUUCUAGUCAUACUCUUCACGAGUUGAAAAAAAUUAUAAAAUUGGAUUACAAUGCGCACACUAAUAUCGCACAAAUGACUGUUUCAUGUUUAUGUUGAUCAUCAGUUUAAAAUUAUUGGGAGCGUGAUCGCCGUGUAACUGAAGUCUUAUGCUUUUGUUAUCGUUGUGGUGUAAAUAAUGAGUCGAUGUCUCUGUGUUAGUAAUAAAUGAAUGCCUUAAAUGGGCUAAAUACGUUACAAAAUUAUAAUCUUGUAGUAUACGUAGUCAUAACUGUAUUAAGGUAUAUAAAAAUGACAAAGUCUGAAUAUGGGUAAAAAUAAAUUCUUGACUAUGUUAGAAUAGUGUUGUGUAUAUAUAUUUCUGACGACUUAAUCGUACUUAAGUACGUAACGAGGGUGGAGUCGAAAUUAUAGCCAAAUUUUUUGUUUGAGUGGAUGUUCGUCAUGUGUUUAAACCGAGAUUGUGCUAGUUAAGUUUCACUCAGAUUGGAGGAUCUGAAAAAAAUAAUUAACCAAAAUGCGCACAUUAAUUCGCACAAAGAGAUAUUUUUGUUGUAUUUAUAACAAUUUAUAUAGUUGUUAGUGUUAACUUCUUCUUUACCAAAAACUUAGAAUCUAAGCCGAAUUAAAGUUUGUCUGAAAAAUUCUUGAAUAAGUUGUUGUCGGUGUAUUAAUAGCAAGUAACAUUAACAAAUAAGUCAUUUAAUUAAUUUAAUACUGCGUCUAUAUUUUUUAAACUUAAAAAAAUUAUCGAGAAAGUUGUGGGUACGAAUUGAAACGAUCCAACGUGACAUGAAAUUAGCGACGAAAGAAAACCACGGUUUGCAAAAAUUAUAAAUUUCAAAGUAACUAAUUUAGGAAAAAUUACUUAGAAAUUAGAUGCGUUACUUAUUACUUGUAACAGUUUGACCCAUCAGAGUAUUUGAUGUACGUGUACAAACACAAAAAAUCAUAGGGCUUCGUUCAACUAAAUUGUUGUUGAAAAAAUCUAUGAAACAAAAAUAAAACAUAUUUUAGGCAGUGUAAAUUUUAAUCAACAUGUAUAAACAAGUUCGAAAUUUUUCAUUUGUUCGCAAUAACACAGGUGUAUAUAAUAUACAAUGGUGUACAAUUUUUACAUAUACAGUUAGACAACAAUUUUUAUGUUGGUGCUCAGGGUCACCAAAAAAAUAUUAAUGAAACAAUGAAAAAGUCAAAUAAAAAAAAAGUUGAAAAAAUUACGUGGUAUGAAAAUUAGAAAAAUUAUAAUAAUGACCUGACCUGACCUGACCUAACUUAGCCCGACCUGGCCCAUUAUGACUUGACCUUAUUCGAUGAAACUUGUCGACGAAAAACUUGAUUUUUUGAAGAAGGAAAAUAAAACGAAUAAAAGUGUUUAGGGUUAACUCGUUAAGUAAUUACUAAUUAGAAAUGAAAUUCCCAACGUAGGCAUUUUCGUGAGUAGUAGUAUAUUUAAGUAAACCUUCUUAUAAAAUACUCCAAGUGUAAUAUAUAACACUAGUGUUUUACGUUCUUUGAAAUGAAUAUAUGUUAUACUGUACGAUGUAUGUAAUUGAAAAUAUUAAAGUAAGUUUAUUGUAAUCGUAAAUUUGUAAAAUAUGAGACUUUCUUUGUGGUUAUAUUUCUUCAGGAUUUUUAAUAUCUCCAGUUCUUGAGAUCACAACGUCACGGCAUCUGGCAUAUAGCAGUAGAAUUAGUAAUACGUAAUUAGUGGAUACUUAAAUUUCAUUGUGUACAUACAUAUAUAAUACAACUAUGUAUGAUUCCUGUACUUUGUAAUAACUAAUAAGUUAAACAUAGAUACGUCGAUUUUAACACUUCUAACUUCAUGGGAAAUUGAUAUUACAGUCUUACAAAUUUGCAGUUAAACUUGUUUUGAUUCUAACUACUUUCAAUUGUCCAUAAACAGCGUGCUAAGUAAGCAGUAGUCAAAUUUUAGUUAUAGGCAGUCUUAAUUAGUGACUAGCUUAGCAAAAAUUAUAAAAGUCAACAAGUAGGAAUAUUCUCGUGUUUAAAACACAUUUGAAUUUGUGUCGUAUGAUAUAGAUUUGUAAAAUUAAAAUGACCUCUGCGAUAUAAAAAUGGUCAACUAAUAUUAAGUAAUACAAUAAAUGUGUAUUAAUUGUAAACUACGUUUAAUAGGGUCUUUGAUGAAGUUUCAUGAUGCAAUAAUGCUUCUAAGUAUAUAAAACUUUGUAGAAUACUUUUCUGAUUAUUUUAUAGUCGAGCUUGUCAUUUACUUAUUUUUUUUUAACUUUAAGAACUUCUAUUCUACGUGUUUUAGUAAAACAGUUAUUUCAAUUUAUCUGACUUUUAGGAAAAAAUGUUUCAUCUACUCUAUUACUAUUCUUAUAAUCUAGCAAUUAUGAUAACUAAAAUGUGACUUUCAAGUAUACAUAAACUUAAUAUACUCCUUACUAUUAAAUUUUAUAAAUGUGAUGUCACAACAAACAUACGUGUUCUUUAAUUCCUUACAUGAAAGUAGCUCAGAUAGUAUUAAACACGAAAUGUUGACAUUUAAUACUACUGAAUUAGUUGAUGUACAUAUAAUUCUGCGCUAACUUGUAGUUGAUAGCGGUUUAUUUUAAUUUUUUGUUAACUUCUGUCUUUAACAUCUAUAUACUUCAGAAUUAACAAGGGUCGUGAUUUACAGUGCGUACUUAUUUUAAAUGCCUGUUUUAACGGAUUUCCGUACUAAAAUUAACAGACUGAAGCAACAUGCUCGUUUCAUCCACUAAUGUGCUUCCUAAGUCAUUAGUUUCAAUUUAGUCAAGGUGUGAAUAUUAGUCCUAGACGUAAGUACUCAAUGUAUUAAUUUGUGGUUGUGUUAUGUUCCUACUGUGUAUCAAAGAUUUAAAAUUUAUGCUUGUCGUGGGACGUUCAAUGAAAACUACAGGCCAAAAAUUAAGUAAUGUAUUUUUUUUCAUGAUUAAGAACGGCUUCAUUGUGUAAGAAUUGUGGUUGCAUUGCCAAGAUAUUGGACUAUCGUAACAUAAGAAAUCUAAUAAGUUAGUUGUAGUUGUUUAAUGCCUGAAACUGUGCUUUUCACGAAAUGGCUUGAAAUACAUGAUACACUAUGUUUUGUUCUCGUAAAUUCAAAAUUGACUUUUUUCCAUGUCGUGAAGUGGGUAACAACACAAAGUGUACAAAUGUAUAUAUUUCUAAAUACUGUUUCUAGAAAUAUGUGUGCUUAUUUUAAAUUUUAAUGAUUUUUGAAAAAAUGACGAUUAAGUCAAACAGUACUUGUGAGCACUGCAUAAUUGUGAACAUUGUAGUCACUGGCGUUUCUGAAUGUUGUAUCCUAGUGAUGUAAAAGUUCGUUUGGUUGCUAAUUUGCCCACUUAAUGCAAUAUUAAACCAACUUGAAGGCACUGUAUGUUUAUAAUUAGAGUUACUGUGAGUGUUGUAAUUUUCACUUAUUGGCAAAGAACAUCAGGUAUGUAAACAUUUAUAGUGUGACGAUUAAACGCUAUUUUGAGUACUAGCGCUUAUUUUAGAGUUGCAUUUGUUGUUUGGUUUCUGGCAAAUUGCUGUAGUUAACGUGUAUUAAGAUCCAUUUGUGUCAGACUAUAUAAAGAAAUUGAACUCUUAUAUAGCUGAUUGUGUCGUGAGAUUGCUGCUUGUAGCACGUCGCCGCAUAAAAAUAAAGCUCCCACAUUGCUAAACCACCUCCCACAUAUUUUCAAUUUUUAAGCAAUCUACAUCUAGAUGUACCUUUUAUUCUACUUCUUUUCGUAGCUUUUAUACGUAGUUAUAAUUGUUUCACAAUCUUAAGAUUGUCUUCUUUUCCGAACUUUCCUAUUGUCUGUCCACUUUUUAUCUACCUUAUUGAUAGUACUCAGCACACGAAAAAUAUCAAUAUUACUUACUACUAAGUGUUAAAUUUUAUCUCCUCUAGCACUAUAACGAAUUAUCGCACGGAAUAAAAUUGAUCGAAAUGUCCAUAAUACUAAUACAAAUCGCAAAGCUUAGUCAAAGCGACACGAUAAUCCUAUUCCAUUUUACUACUUUAUUAUAACUGUUUUACACUUUUAACAACGGUCUUGUUGUCAUUUAUCACUUUUUUACUUUUUCCAUUUUGCCACUAUUUUAUAAAAACGAAUGCUUUUCCCCUCAUUCUCAAUCGAAUUCCCUCUCAGACAACCCCAUGCAUGUUGAAGCGACUUCUUCGUGCUUGUUACCCCGAGCUUCCCCGUAGUUUUUUAACUCAUUUCUGGGGCUUUAAUAAUUCGAUUGCUUUUUCAAUUUUUGUACGAAUUCGUGUGGAACUACCUCUGCUUUUUAAGGUACAUAUCUGUUGGAUGUUUGUCGUUGUUGGAGUUUCUGUAGAGUUGAGUGUAAAUAAUUUACGAUACAGGUAGUGAUUGAUCUAUUUAACAGUUAACAUAGAAUGUUUAGAGUUGUUACAUUCAUGUGAACUAAAUCUUGUUCCCGCCUCGAAAAAUAAGUACUAGAGCACAGCUUAACACACUUAAGUCAUCAUUUCAGCAAGAGCAUGGUCAUUUAAGCUUGUCAGUGCUGUGUAGAAAGGUUGACAUGUUGAUCAGGAAUGGAGGUUUAAAUAUGGCGCUUCAAGUUUGAUAACAUACUCACGUUUUUGGUAUAUUGUUUUGAGGAAUCUUAGGUGUUGUUUUAUUUAAUGGUUUGGUUAAUGUUGGCGAUUGUUCUGAGUAUUUACAGCGUAUGGUGGAUUAUGUAUGUUUAACUUUCAGUGUAUGUUAGCAAAGGAAAGUAUUGGGUAAAUAUGUUAUACUGUGUUUCGGCUUGACAUAGAUUUUUUGUAUAUACUUAUAUCACAGUUACAGUUUUUUGCUUGUCUGCUUUAUAGUUUAAGGUGUUUUUAUUUCUUUGGAACGAAAAAUUAGGAAAGGAAUGGGGCAUUUCGUAAUUGCUGCAAGAAAAAUUGAUUUGGAAAUGAGCGCAUUAUACUAGUAUAUUUGAGUUUAAGACAUCGUAAGAGGAAAAGUGCGUAUUAUGGUUUUCAGAGUUCGUUAUAUUUUAAGGCGUUCGUAGAAAUACGUUGCGCAUUUGAAAACGCGAGAAAAUUUGUAAUCGAUGCGUCAACUGAAUUUUGAUUCUGAUAUUGGUGUAAACGUCCAUUAGUAAUAAGAGCUAGCUUUAAGUAUUUGGUUGAGUAACAAAGCUAAAAGAGUUUUAUGAUUUAUUUAUACGUACAUGAGUACAUGAAAGGAAACAUAUUUAUUAAACUUUCCAGAAAACGUUAUUUGUAUUUCGAAUGUGUAUUGAUUGAUUUUAUAAUUAUAUCUUUGACAUCAAGUUUUAACUAAAUGUAAUUGAUACUGGUGCGUUCACUACUACCAACAAUGGCGGAUCACUUUUAAGAUAUGUUGCGAAGUGUUAGACGUAUGAAAAAAUAAGAACGUAAAUAGAAGACGUACAGAUAAUGAUAAAAAUAAAAUUAUUAUAUAAAGCGCUACUUUUUGACUGAUUUUGAUAUAAAUUUGCUAUAACAACAUUAUAGGUGUAAAGUGUAACAUAGAGCGGUAAAUAAAGAGACGAGAACAUAGAAUAUAGGAUAAUUUUUUAAAUAAAUUUUAUUGAAUUUGUGUUGAACUGCGUUGCGGACAGAAUUUAAAAAUGUACAUUGUAGGCCAAAAAUUGAAAAUAUUUAAUUAUGAAAAACGAAGAGUUUAUUGAAACAAUUUGUAAUUUUCUUUCUAAAUAAAACAUUUAUGAGAUAAAAUUUUGACAACAAGUAAACAAUUAUAUGUUUGAAUUAUUGUGUGAAAAAAUAUUUUGACAAAGCGGAAAUUCGAUUGAAUUGUGAAACAACAAUGGUAUAAAAAACAAUAUUCGUGAAAAGUUUUCUAUAAAAUGCGUUGUGUUAAAUACAUAAAAAAGAAGUACCUAUUAAUGGAAGUCUGUUAUAGUAAAGCGAAAUGAAAAAACGUGCGAAAUAAAUGAAAAAUAAAACAAAAUGAAUAGCCAAAAAGUGUAGAGGUGGAGUAGAGGACAAAAUUUAAAAAUGUAUAUUAUAGACGAAAAAUUUACUUGAUUGUACUGAAAACGUAAAAUAAAAUAAAACAUUUCAAAACAGAAAUAGCUUCAACUGAACAAGGUAUUUAAUUAUUAAAAACGAAGAUUUUAUUGAAACAAUUUGUAAUUUUCUUUCUAAGUAAAACACUUAUGAGAUAAAAUUUUGACAGCAAGUAAAUGAUUGUAUGUAUGAAUUAUUGUGUAAAAAAAAUAUAUGACAAAGCGGAAAUUCGAAUGAAUUGUAAAACAAUAAUGGCAUUAGAAACAAUAUUCGUGAAAAGUUUUCCAAAAAUGCGUUAUAUUAAAUACAUAAAAAGGAAGUAUUAAUGGAAGUAUGUUACAAUAAAGCGAAAUGAAAAAACGUGCGAAAUAAAUGAAAAAUAAGACAAAAUGAAUAGCCAAAAAGUGUAGAGGUGGAGUUGACGACAAAAUUUAAAAAUGUACAUUAUAGCCGAAAAAUUGACUUGACUGUACUGUAAACGUAAAACAUAAUGAAAAAUGAAAUUCGAAGCCAAAAUAACUUCAAUUGAACAAGGUAUUUAAUUAUUAAAAACGAAGAUUUUAUUGAAACAAUUUGUAAUUCUCUUUCUAAAUAAAACACCUAUGAAAUAAAAUUUUGACAGCAAGUAAACGAUUGUAUGUAUGAAUUAUUGUGAAAAAAAAAAACUAUGACAAAGCGGAGAUUCGAAUGAAUUGAAAAACAAUAAUGGCAUUAGAAACAAUAUUCGUGAAAAGUUUUCCAAAAAUGCGUCGUUAUAAAUACAUAAAAAGAAUUAAUGGAAGUAAUUUACAAUAAUGCGAACUGAAAAAAAGUGCAAAAUAAAUGGUAAAAUAAGACAAAAUGCAUAGCCAAAAAGUGUAGAAGUGGAGUUGACGACAAAAUUUAAAAAUGUACAUUAUAGCCGAAAAAUUGACUUGAUUGUACUGUAAACGUAAAACACAAUGAAAAAUGAAAUUCGAAGCCAAAAUAACUUCAACUGAAAGGUAUUUAAUUAUUAAAAACGAAGAUUUUAUUGAAACAAUUUGUAAUUUUCUUUCUAAAUAAAACACCUAUGAAAUAAAAUUUUGACAGCAAGUAAACGAUUGUAUGUAUGAAUUAUUGUGAAAAAAAAAAAUACUAUGACAAAGCGGAAAUUCGAAUGAAUUGUAAAACAAUAAUGGCAUUAGAAACAAUAUUCGUGAAAAGUUUUCCAAAAAUGCGUCGUUAUAAAUAUACAAAAGAAGUAUUAAUGGAAGUAAUUUACAAUAACGCAAAAUGAAAAAAAGUGCAAAAUAAAUGGUAAAAUAAGACAAAAUGCAUAGCCAAAAAGUGUAGAGGUGGAGUUGACGACAAAAUUUAAAAAAGUACAUUAUAAGCGAAGAAUUGACUUGAUUGUACCGAAAAUGUAAAACGAAAUGAAAAAUUUCAAAGCCAAAAUAAUUUCAACAGAACAAGGUAUUUAAUUAUGAAACACGAAGAGCUUAUUGAAACAAUUUGUAUUUAAUUUUUUUCUUUCUAAAUGAAACACUUAUGAAAUAAAAUUUUGAGAACAAGUAAACGAUUGUAGGUAUGAAUUAUUGUGUAAAAAAUGAUAUGACAAAGCGGAAAUUCGAACGAAUUGUAAAACAACAAUGGCAUAAAAAGCAACAUUCGUGAAAAGUUUUCCAUAAAAUAUGUUGUAUUAAAUACAGAAAAAGUAUGUUACUGUAAAGCGAAAUGAAAAAACAUGCGAAACAAACGGUAAAAUAAGACAAAAUGAAUAGCCAGAAAGUGUAGAGGUGGAAUUGAGGACAAAAUUUAAAAAUGUACAUUAUUGACGAAAAAUUGACUUGACUGUACCGAAAACGCAAAACGAAAUAAAAAAUAAAAUUCGAAGCCAAAAUAACUUCAACUGAACAAGGUAUUUAAUUAUGAAAAACAAAAAGUUAAUUGAAACAAUUUCUAAUUUUCUUUUAAAUAAAACACUUAUGAGAUAAAAUUUUGACAACAAGUAAACGAUUCUAUGUAUGUAUUAUUGUGUAAAAAAAUAGUAUGACAAAGCGGAAAUGCGAAUGAAUUGUAAAAUAAUAAUGGCAUAAGAAACAGUAUUCGUGAAAAAUUUUCCAUAAAAUGCGUCGUUAUAAAUACAUAAAAGAAGUAUUAAUGGAAGUAAUUUACAAUAAAGUGAAAUGAAAAAACGUGCGAAAUAAAUGGUAAAAUAAGACAAAAUGCAUAGCCAAAAAGUGUAGAGAUGAAGUUGAGAACAAAAUUUAAAAAUGUACAUUAUAGACGAAAAAUUGACGUGAUUGUACCGAAAACGCAAAACAAAAUAAAAAAUUUCAAAGCAAAAAUAACUACAACUGAACAAGGUAUUUAAUUACGAAAAACGAAGAGUUUAUUGAAACAACUUGUAAUUUUCUUUCUAAAUAAAACACUUAUGGGAUAAAAUUUUGACAGCAAGUAAACGAUUGUAUGUAUGAAUUAUUGUGGAAAAAAAUAGUAUGACAAAGCGGAAAUUCGAAUGAAUUGCAAAACACCAUUGGCAUAAAAAACAACAUUCGUGAAAAGUUUUCCAUAAAAUGCGUUGUAUUAAAUACACAAAAAAGAACUAUUAACGGAAGUAUGUUACAGUAAAGCGAAAUGAAAAAACGUGCGAAAUAAAUGCUAAAAAUAAGACAAAAUGAAUCGCCAAAAAGUGUAGAGAUGGAGUUGAGGACAAAAUUUAAAAAUGUACAUUAUUGACGAAAAAUUGAUUUGAUUGUACCGAAAACGUAUAAAACAAAAUGAAAAAUUUCGAAGCCAAAAUAACUUCAACUGAACAAGAUAUUUAAUUAUAAAAAAAUGAAGAGUUUAUUGAAACAACUUGUAAUUUUCUUUCUAAAUAAAACACUUAUGGGAUAAAAUUUUGACAGCAAGUAAACGAUUGUAUGUAUGAAUUAUUGUGGAAAAAAAUAGUAUGACAAAGCGGAAAUUCGAAUGAAUUGCAAAACACCAAUGGCAUGAAAAACAACAUUCGUGAAAAGUUUUCCAUAAAAUGCGUUGUAUUAAAUACACAAAAAAGAACUAUUAACGGAAGUAUGUUACAGUAAAGCGAAAUGAAAAAACGUGCGAAAUAAAUGGUAAAAUAAGACAAAAUGCAUAGCCAAAAAGUGUAGAGAUGAAGUUGAGAACAAAAUUUAAAAAUGUACAUUAUAUACGAAAAAUUGACGUGAUUGUACCGAAAACGCAAAACAAAAUAAAAAAUUUCAAAACAAAAAUAACUACCACUGAACGAGGUAUUUAAUUACGAAAAACGAAGAGUUUAUUGAAACAACUUGUAAUUUUCUUUCUAAAUAAAACACUUAUGGGAUAAAAUUUUGACAGCAAGUAAACGAUUGUAUGUAUGAAUUAUUGUGAAAAAAAAAUGGUAUAACAAAGCGAAAAUUCGAAUGAAUUGUAAAACAGUAAUGGCAUAAGAAACAAUAUUCGUGAAAAGUUUUCCAAAUAAUGCGUUAUAUUAAAUACAUAAAAAAAAAGUAUUAAUGGAAGUAUGUUACAGUAAAGCGAAAUGAACAAACAUGCGAAAUAAAUGGUAAAAAUAAGACAAAAUGAAUAGCCAAAAAAUGCAGAGGUGGAGUUGAGGACAAAAUUCAAAAAGUCCAUUAUAGACGAAAAAUUGACUUAAUUGUAACGAAAGCAUCAAACAGAAUGAAAAAUUAAAUUCGAAGCCAAAAUAACUUAAACUGAACAAGGUAUUUAAUUAUAAAAAAAUGAAGAGUUUAUUGAAACAAUUUGUAACUUUCUUUCUGAAUAAAACACUUAUGAGAUAUAAUUUUGACAGCAAGUAAACGAUUGUAUGUAUGAAUUAUUGUGCGAAAUAAAUGGUAAAAAUAAGACAAAAUGAAUAGCCAAAAAGUGUAGAGGUGGAGUUGAGGACAAAAUUUAAAAAUGUACAUUAUAGACGAAAAAUUGUAUUGAUUAUAGCGAAAACAUAAAACAAAAUGAAAAAUUUCCAAGCCAAAAUAGCUUCAACUCAACAAGGUAUUUAAUCACGAAAAAUGAAGAGUUUAUUGAAACAAUUUGUAAUUCUCUCUCUAAAUAAAACACUUAUGAGAUAAAAUUUUGAUAACAAGGAAAUUAUUGUAUGGAUGAAUUAUUGUUUAAAAAAAUAGUAUGACAAGGCGGAAAAACAGGUAUUAAUGGAAGUAUCUUAAGUGUAAAGCGAAAUGAAAAAACGUGCGAAACAAAUGGUAAUAAGACAAAUUGAAUAAGCAAAAGGUGCUGAGGUGCGCUAAAUAUGCGUAAAAUGUACCAAAAACAUAAAACAAAAUGAAAAAUUUCAAAGCCAAAAUAACUUCAAAGUAUUUUUUUAUGAACAACGAAGAGUUUAUUGAAACAAUGUGUAAUUUUCUUUCCAAAUAAGACACUUUAUGAGACAAAAUUUUGGUAGGGAGUAAACGAUUGCGAAAUGUAUAAAUUAUUGUGUAAAAAUAGUAUGACAAGGCGGAAAAACAGGUAUUAAUUCAAAUAUGUUACGACAAAGCGAAAUGAAAAACAUGCGAAAAUAAGACAAAAGAAUAACCAAAAAGUGUAGAGGUGGAGGGUGGGCUAAAUAUGCGCAAAACCAUUUUAUUCGAUCUAAAGGGGUAGUUACGUCAACGUGCUGUAAAAACCACACAUUUAAAAAUACUUAGUUCUGUAAUCAAAUUAUUAUUAUAAACCAAAAAGUGCGUAAAAAUGACACCAAACGAGUAUCGAAAUAAUGAUAUUACUUAAUACUGUUAAGAGCGAUGAAAAGCAACUUUAUAGCUUUCUAGGUAAAAUAAUACAAGUAAUUAAUAAUAAAAAUACGUAAAGGCGGAUAACGUUCAUUAUACCAGAAACACCAAAAUUCUAUAUGGAACCCUACUAUCAUAUUCGACGUCUAUUGUAAAUUACGUUAGUAUUAUUAUUACUAUUAUUAAUAUAAUUAAUAAUGUUAGAGGACACUGUCCUAUGAAAUUGUUGUACGCCCGGUAAUAUUUUAGAUAGUUAAAAAUAAGUAUAUAUGUGAAAUAAAUUCUACAAUUAAGUGAAAUAGAAAAACCGCGAAACAAAUAAAAAGUGUAGAGGUGGGAUAAAUACGAACAAUAUAUUUUCUUCAAAUUGCUAGUUAUUUUAGUGUGUUUAAUUCGGUAAUCUUUCUAACCCAAAUGGCGCUAAAAUAGAAGUGAAAGUGAAAAACGGCAACAUAGAAGUUAAUUACUGCAAUGUAAAAAGUCAUUAACAGUAUUAAGACCCGGUUCAUAAAAGCGCUUAAACACGCAAUUAAUUAAUCAUGUGAUCGACGUCAACCAAUCCAGUGCUAAAUUCCCGGGUCAACUGCACAUUAAAUUUUAAUUCGAAUUAAGUGUUUCAUUAAAUAAGCUACCAUCAACCGGCCUUAAGAGUGACGAAAGAAUGUCAAAACAAAAGCAACACAUACCUACUUUUCGUAAUUUUUAGCGCCCUAAGUAAGAUAAAAUGUUAGAAAUUAUUAAAUGAAUGUAAUAAGUGGCAAAAAAAGUGUGAGUGAAGUAUUGAUCAUACGAUGAAUUAAGGUUGCAAAUAGUAAUGUAAACUCUAAGUUAAUAAUAAUAAGUAAAUAUGUAGCAGAAUCAUGGUGUAGUGGUGCGACAUUAACUAUUAUUUUAUAUUAUGGUUGUAUAAGUUUAAUAUAAUUAAUUAAUACUAAUCGGAAAUAUUUGUCAACAUACAUAUAAACGAAUUAUUGCAUAUUUGUUAGCAAGUAAUCUACUGAAAACACCAAAACUCGUCAAAUUGCGAAUAAAGUCGAAAAGGGAUCAUGUAUUAUUGUAGCAAUCAAUGAAAAAUUGUUGUUGUUUACUAAUAUAGUUUCUAAGUAAGAAAAUUUUUUCGAGACCAAUAUGAUAUUUAAAUGUUUGUACGUUUGUCGGAAACUUAAUAUUUAAUAAUUUUGACUCCGUUUUAUAGAAAAGGUAUAGGUUUUGAUUAUGUUGUUAAUGAAUAAAUUAUUAAAUUAAUUUCAAAACGAUACUUUCACAUCUCAUUGUUUCUUUAGUAUUAAAUAUCUAAUAAUAAUGGUUGUCUGACAUACAUUUCAGUAAAUUACAUCGUCUUAGGUGAAAUAAUAAGUAUAUAAUUUAAAUGUAAAAAGACUUAUAUUAUUUAUAGAAAAAUACUGCAGCUAUUUGACAUUAAAUAUAUGAUUACAAUACUAUAAAAAUUUAGAUACACAUAAAAAAUAUUUGUAUUUCGAGUAGGAAACAGGUUUUAAAUGUACGAAAAACGCGAACUGUGUAAUCCACAAACUAUUGAAAAAUAAUUGGAAAUACUACAAAAAUUUAACAAAUUUCUCAUCAUAUAACACAAAAAUAGCGAUAUAAAUUAUGGGCAUAACUGUAAAUACAAUGGGUAUUAUAUUUGACGUGUAAAAUAAAAAACUAGUUAGUGUGGUAACAAAUAUGUUACAAUAGAGCGAACUGGAAAAAAUAAAUAAUUUUAAACAAAGCGAAAAACGAAAAAGUGCAGAGGAGGUGGGUGGGCCAGACAUAUAAAAACCAUUUUAUUCAAAGUAUGGACAGAACACGUUCGAACAAAAAUAAGGCGCAGAAAGUACUAAAAACAACAAUUGAAAAAGUACAAAAACAGUACAAAUAAACCAAAUACAAGCCAGUUUAAAAGGAAGACAAAUUUGGAAAAUAUUGCUGAGGUAGAUAUGCGUGCUAUUAUGAAGUAAAAAAUAAGGGUUAUUAACUAUAGAUAUAAAUAUAGAUUUGAAGUAUUAAAAUGUGAAAAUACAGGGGAUGAAGUGGAAAAAUAGAAUACAUAAUAACAAUGUAGAAAUGUACAAGAAAUGGUUAAUGUAAACAUUAUAAUAAUUGUAUAAAACUGAGGAGGAAUAAUUCCACUCAAAAUAUACGGUCUGACAUAAUAAUAAUACGGAAAGUAAAAAAGCAAAUAAAUUUUAAGAGGUUAAUGCCUUAAUUUGAUUUGUAAUUAUAUAUAUUAUAUAUUAUAUGUUUUAAUUGCGUUAGAAUUAGCCAUGGCAGUUUCAACUAACCAUGUUUAGGGAGAUACGCCGAUAUUACAAGAUAAGAAAUAUUAAUUGUUAAUCUUUAUGUUAUGUAAUUCCCAUAUAAGGUAUAUAUAUUACAGAGGUUUUUAAGAAAACAAUUCAGUAAUAUACAACUCGUUUAAAAUAAUUUAUGACGAAAUACAAUAUAUCAUUUACUGAAAUCAAAAAUACAGCCUUUUGUAACGUUGUGAUAAAGUGAAAAAAACUUAGAAAUGAAAAGUGACUUCAGUGUAUUAUUAGGAUUUAUUUUUAAAAUAAUGGUAAUCGCACUCUAUGAUUAUGUUAAGUUUGACACAACAAUAAAAUCAGGUUUAUAUUAUUUUUAUACAUAAAUAUAAUAUUAUUUGGUAUAUGAAGUGUAAUAUUGAAUAUAUGUUCUAAACAAAAUAACUUUCAUAAAAACGCACAAGCCCUACAUCUUGUAGUAAUAAUUUAGGUAAGGUUAAUAUUUACGUUAACAAUUGAAUAUUUACACAAGAAAUAUGUUGUAUUUGUACGGAUAAGUGGUAAUUUUCCUACGAGGGAAACAAAAUAGCAUUUUUUUUCAUCAAUAAUUUUGUAUUUUUUUUGACUUCAUAUACUGCUUCUAUUGAAUAAAUAAUAAUCAAUGAAAUCAAACCAUUGCCUACAAAAAUGUGAUAAAAUAUUCACGCAUGAAUUGGUGAUAUUGAAAAUCAAAAUUAACUUCAGGUUAUUUUAGCGUUAUUCUAAUUUGAUUAUAUAAGGUUAUAAUAAGUUGUAAACAAAAAGAGGGUAAAGGUGGCUCAUGUACAUGUAGGUGAUUACGGAUUACUUUUAAAAUAUACUAAUUUGAAAAUAAUUCAUAUCUGAAACUCUUAGUCUUAAACGUAGUCAAAAACUAAAUCCGAAUUUGAUAAAAAAAGGGAAUUAUCAGGAUCUUUUUUAGCAUAUAGCAAUAAUCAUUAAUUAUUUCUAUAAAAGCAGUUCGUUUUUGAGGUUAACUACUUAUUUUGAGUAAGUUUAAGUAUAAUAUGUAUUUUCUUUUGUGUAUUUAUUAUUCUCGACACUUUGUGUAUUCCUCGCUAACCAAAACAGCAAUUAAAUAUUUGCUAUGAACAAGAAUGUCGGAAUUUUUUUUUAGUGUGGCAAAAUUGGAGUAUUAAGGAAAUUUAAAUAUCGAAUGUUUAGUUAAUGAUAAAUUUUUCAGUAGAAGAAACCCGGUCAAAAGUACAAGCGAACAUGCAGGUAUCAAUAUAAUCGGUAAAACUAAUGAACAAAAGGCACUUUCAGGGGUCAAAGUAUUAUAACAUUGAAAAUAUGGCAAAAUAUAUUACUUCAUGAUAAUAUUAAUCGGAACUAAGGUAUUGUAGGUGUAAAUACAAAAUUCAAAACAUUAAAUGUAAAAAUGGAAUUUGAUAUGAAAAGAUGAAAACAUUGGAAUAAUAUUAUAAAUAAAUGAUGUACAUAAAUACUUGUAAAAAAGACAGUAUACUUAUGUAGAUAGUUGAGAUAAUAUGCUGUAAUUGUAAAGAAAACAGUUGUUAUGAUAAGAAUGCAGCGAAAAAUGUAAAAAACCACGUUGAGAUUAUCUAAUUUUAUGUUGGAAGUAUGAUUUAUAUUAACUAAAAAACUUGUUACAAAAACUAUGAUUAUUACGAAAUUCUUUACAAAAUAAAUACUCUAAUUGAAAUCUGAAGAUGAAAACAGCGGCUGAAGUGGAACAAAGAACACAAUAAGAGCAUAAAAUUCUUUAAAAUGUCAAGUCUUUUAAGGGCAAUAAUAAGUGAAACAAGCUUAAGUAACUUAUGGAGAAAUCAAUAAAAUCUGUUUACAAUGGUAAAAUAAAAUAAAUUGGUACAGAGUUGUGCGUAUUUAGUAUAUUUUAACUUUCGAAAUGUAUAAAUAUAAGCUAUUGUGAGGCAACAUUAAGUAUAAGUAAAUCUUUUUCAGUUAUUAUUUUUAAUUGUGUAUUAUAUUUAGAGAAACAAGUACUGUUGAGGUCUGUGUGUUUCAUUAAGGAUAUCAUUAUAACUGAAAAUCAAAAUAUAGCCUUUUAUAUAGUUGUGAUAAAGCAAAAAAGAAUAUCAGUAGUACAUACCAUGCGAAAUGUAGUUAUUGAUAACGCAAAAAACUAAUACAGGACAUCCAAUCUGUACUGAAAAAAUACAAAAAUAGAAUAAAAAUGGCUUUCGGGCACUGUCACGUGCAUAAAAUAUUGAUUUAUUAGAUCGUAUUAGUUAUGGAUAAUUUCUUAUCAAACAACCAAAUCAAAAUUGUUGCCUGUAAAAAAAAAUUGUGAUAAACUAUACUUAUCCAAAUUCGUGAUACAGAAAAUCAAAAUUUUCUACUUUGAUUAAGUUCAACAACAGUAUUAAAAAAAGUUACCCAAAAAAUGAAAUGAAAAUGAUACACAUCUAAACGAGUUCAUAUUUUCCUGGUGAACUAAAAGAAACUAAACAAAAAACAUGUCUAUGGACAUCGAACAACGCAAAAAUGCUAACACACAGUAUCAGACUUCGUUCUUGGUAAUUAAUAUACUAGAACCUUUAGUAUUAAGUGUUAUUAAAAACUAUUUAAGUUAUAAAAUUAAGUACAAUAUUGAUAUAAUUAAUGAAAUGCAUAGGUUAUAAGCAGAAAUACUUAAUUAAAGUUUCGAAAAUGGCGCAGAUUUUAAAUUAUCUUGUAUAUAAGUUUAAGGAAGCUGUAAAUACGUUAUUGUAUAAAAUGACAUUUCAACAUGUUUUCUAUGCAAAACAUUGGUCUUAAGGAUAAUUAAAUACGUGUGCUACACGCAUUCGUAAUCGCUAGGCUGAUAUGACUUAUUCUACAGUAAAGUUCUAAUAAAGCUAGUAACAACAUAACAUUUAUGUAAAUUUUAAGAUAUUCCGGGGGUAAAACCGAUGUAAUUAUGAAGACGUAGCUGAAAUAGUGUAUUACUAAGGUAAACUACAUAACAAACCUGUAUUUCCAAGUUUUAGUGCCAAAUAGGUCUACAAAAACUGAAUUUAGUAGGAAAAAUAGUAGGAAACAACAAAUUUAAAGUUAAACCAGCAUAAGUAAAAGUAAGGUCACUGUAAAGACGUAUUAGAUAUUUAACUGUAACGUAUGUACAUAUUAAAAAAAAUGUAACCAAAGAUUUUAAGUUGUUGAUUAGUUACAAGGGGUAAACUUAUUUUUUUUUAAUUACAUAAAAUUUGAACUUCAACAUAAGACAUAAGAAAUGUAUAUAAAAUAUAAAUAUGCAUUUUCUAAAAGCGUUGAAAGUCUGAAAAUUUCACGGUCAUAGUCAGCAAUACAUUAUAUUUCUAGUGUAAGUACAAACUUUGUACAAAACCAAUAAGAAUGUAAAUUCACUUGUCUAUAUUAAUGUUUUCAGUGCUAUUAUAAACUUUGAAAUUUGUAAGUGAGUAGGGAUGUCUAGAAUAAACUUAAUAUCAGUUAUUAUAUACUUAGAACGAAAAUUAAGUCAGUAAUAUUGCUUUAAUAGCGAAUUAAGAGAAAUAUGAAAAAGGAAGUCAACAAGAGCCAAAUAUGUAAAAAAGAACCAAAGAUAUAGGAAUAUUGUAAAAUAUAAGGCUAAAUAGUCACACUAUUUGAAACAUAAAAUUUGUAAUGUGUUCUGAAAAUAAAAAAAUAUGAAAAGUUUUGAAAAAAGCGUAUUUGUCCAACAGUCAUUUUAAUAUACUGAGAACGCAAAUAUUAGAAAGAAGAUACCACAACUACCUCCUUUUAGUCUCUUUUUUGAGAGUAAACGUAAAAUUUGUUUAUUAAAAUUCCAUCUUAUAGGCAACUGUCGCUAAAAAAUUUGGACAUGGAUAUGAGACUAAUUCGUGUGUAAAAAUGAAACAUUUCGAAGGCUUUUUGGACAGAUACGACUUUUUCAAGUGAUUUAAUUUUUAAAAACGAUACUCAAUUUAUUUUUAAUGCAUUACGACCUAACGCAGUUUAUUAUUAUUAUUAUUAAAUUAGAGUACUUACAGAGGCUAAACCUAUAUUGUAUACCAACCCCAAAGUGCAUUACAAAACCAAUGUGCGUUACGCUAAUUUUAUUUUUCCAUUUGAUUUAUAAUUUUUAUACUUCUGUCCAAGCAACAAAUUUUGUAAUAGGUAAAAUUAAAUUUUAAGGAUUUUAUAACAAGUUUCCAACGAUUUAUACGAAGAUUAUGUUCAUUCUGCGAGUUGAAAAUGAAAUGAAACAAAAGACAGUUAUUUAGAAUUAAGAGUUCGUUAAAUAUUUCAUCGAUAAUAAUAAUGGGUAAUAAUAAGGAAUAUUUCGUCGACAAAAACCAUAAAAUGCGUGUAAUGUCGUCAAUAAUAACGCUAAACUACGUGUAAAUCCUAAAAAAAUAACAUACGUAAAAUAAUACCGUUACCAAUAUUACCAAUAUUAUAAGAAUGUGGUGGUGAAUAGAUGUUUUCGAAUGUCCUUUUAAAGGUCUUCCUUGUGUUAAAUAAACACAGAUUUGAUAAACGCAGGUUUUAAAUCGGUAGGUACUUCCAGAAAGUUCUUACGUGCUAAAUCCAAAAACAUAUAGACAAGAAGCACAAAAUUGCGGCCAAAAUAGAUUAAUGAAAAAAAAAAGAAAUUAAGAGCGAUCAAAAUACGGCAAACAUAGAACAUAAUAUAAAACUACACAACAUACAAAUAAUGUAGAGUAAAAUAAAAUUAAGUCCGGAGGAUAUAAUGAAUCUCAUAGAUAUUAAGAUGUCUAAUGAAACAAAUAAGUUCUUAAAAAAAGCGCAAAAAUUGGUGUAUACAAAAUAUACAAAGAAGGUUAAGAUUUUCCGAAGGUUGCAAGUCGGAGUUUAAGUUGAAGACGAAAUUAUUAAAUGAAGGUUUAGCAGGAGUAAUAUAUUGAAAAGGUGUAAUAUACAGAAUGGUGUAAAAAAGGCUAUAUUAUUAUUUCAUGAGUAAUAAAAAUAAUGGUCGAAGUAAGAUCAAAAAACAAAUGAUACAAAAAAAAAACUUACAAAUACGGUAAAUUACUAAUGCUAUAGCUGAAGUAUAUGUCAAAUGUGGAAUGUUAAAAAUAAAAUACAGUUGUCAAAAAUUGAAAUAUAAUUGAAGGUGAAUGAUAAAUGUGUAAAUGAGAAAAAAGUGUAAAAUAAAAACAAUAGCAAAACGGUGUAACUGAAUACAGGGUGUUGAAAAAAGUGAUACAAAAAUCAAAAUUUUAGAUUAAAACUAUUGAUAUAGAUAGACUGUGAUAAAAACAGUUAUAAGGUUCUUACUACAGAAUUAAAAAUUAGCAGUUUUACGUAUAAUAGGUGAAAUUCAAGUAUGGCACAAAUUAACAUUUAAAUGAUUUAAUUUAAUUUCUACGUUAAAAUUAUCAUAUGACUGAUUAGAAUUAGUUACAACUUAAAAUAAACUUUUAUGUUUAGUGCAUUAGUCACAAUCCAGUCUUAGCAACAUAAACUCAUAUAUAUAAGAAAACAGCACUUCGUUACAAAUGUUCAUUUUUUUUAAACUAUAAUUAAAAUUAAAAUUUACAAUGUUUAUCCAUUGCUACUUAAUUUUACAUUAGUAGAAACUGAAUCCCGAAAAUAACUCGAACAACUAUGGUACCAUAUUGAAAAUUUUAAAACUAUAGUUCUGGUUUUGAUAACUUGAAACAAAUUGUGAAUUGGUGCACCAAUAAAAUCAAAAACGUUCUCACUCAUAGCUAUAGGUAGCUACCGUAAGUGUCUUUCAUUAAAAAAAAAGUAUGAAACCAAAGAAUGAAAGUACUGGUGAAGUUUAUCCACUUUUAUAGUUUCAUUAUAUGUGGAAAUAACAAAAAUAAAUUUAUUCCUACGAGUAAACAAAAUCAAGUCAGCAAUAAACACAAACCAAAAAUUACGCAAAGACAGUCCAUUACACAAAUUUAUUUAAUUUAUUUUUUGUAAUAACUGAAGGACGAAUUUCGUUCGACCUUCAAGAGACCCCCACGGGCUUGACCUUGGUGAGGCAUCCACUGCAGAUACCUCACUCAGUGAGGCGUCCCCCAUGGAUACCACACGUAGAGCGUCCACACGGACACUAACGUCAAACGAGCCCUUGCGGGAACUCAAAAUUGACGAGGACCAAAUCGGCUUGAGAGGCAUUGGUGAGGCGCCACACUAACCUCAUACAAGUCCUUAGGAAACUCGAAAUUUUCACGAGGAUCACUCGGGCUUGUAAAAGGUCAUUCUGAUGCCCGAAUGUGGGCAUCACACUAACCUUCGGCAAACCCUAGUCGAGACUCGGAUCAUCCGACUCUUGGGGAACGGCAUGGGCUCGAAGGGCUCGCGAUGAGACCGUUGUGGGCUCAGUGGGCUCUGAGGGCCCGACGUGGGGCUUGACGAUGUUGGGCCCAUGUUUGGAGACCGUGGUGGCCUUAGUGAGAUCAGUUCAGGCUCACUUGAUGAAAUUAAGUUGACCUUGAUUUAUCUCAAAAUGGCGCUCGAUAUUGUCAGCCACCCAAGUUUAGACACCCAAAAAUAAUUAUCUUUGUGUGAGUGGGUAGUGUGGAAUGGUGUGAAGUUGUAUUAUUGUUAGGUGUUUAUGUACAAAAUGUUAUUUUAGUGGCGAUUUAUAUCAUUUAAAUGUUUCUAUACGGAAUGUAAUUGUUCAUACUGUCAAGACAGACCAUUUGAUGACUCAUUCUGUGUUUAUUUUGUGUACUGAACAUAUUUUUAAUGACUAAAAUUGUGUUUCUGAAGGUUAUCAAGGUUGUGUGAUACAAAUAAGGUAUUUUUAUGCAAUGUGCUGAUCCUUGCUGAUUUGCUUGAAGGUUAUCAUAUGUUAUGUACCUAGCCAUUAAAAUAGGUCAUAGAAAUAUGAAAGGUAUAGCAGAAUAGUACCUUUACACCUCUGAAGCCUAAGAUAAUGAAACAUAAGAUAUUAUUUUUGUGUAAAUACCUACGUUAAGGGUGUUUCGUUUAAGGUGAAUACUUCGAAUGUUCAUGAGUAUGUUAUGAACUCGCAUAUUUGAGUCAGGUGGUACACUAUGUAUACAAGUGAAUAAGUAUACAAUGAAAAAUAUAACCAAUAUAAGGUUAACGAAAUUGCAAUCGCAAACAUGACGUGCAAUUAUGAGCAUUACAGCAAGUAAUAUUGAGGGUUAUAAAUAUUAAUCUCCGCUGCUAAGUACAUGGUUGACCAUAAAACGCCAAUUUUAUUACCAUGCAGACAAUUUUCAGUACGUACUGUCAAACAGCAUGAACAUCCGAUUUUAAAACUUUAAAAUAAUAUAUGAAAUGGAAGUGGAGGUGGGAGGGCCAAAUUUUUAUUAUUUUUUAUUUUACUUCACCACGUAGGUAUUUCUUUCUUAUUUAUUAUCUCUAGCUUCUAAAUGGCUGUUAAUGAAACGACGUAUUCAAGUCCUACACAUUCAUCAAAAUUAAUCUAUACAUAAUAUAUGAUAUAGUGUAUCUUCCAUUGUAUUUAUUGUUUGUAAAAAAAUUUGUGACUAAAGAACAAGGUCAGCGAAUGUUUAGUAAUAUAAAGUUUGAUACUAAAUAUCGUCAUUCUUUAUCUUCUAUGUGUACAGUUCCUGUGUUGUCAAUUAUUAAGUAAAUUAACACUGUUUAUAACAACCAUAAUUGUCAAGAAUGUCAAAAGAGACGAGUGGACAAUAUGAACAUCAAAUUUAAAUUUUUACAAAAACAUGUCAGCUUUUGUUAGUCCGAACGAUUGAACAAAGUACAAAAAAGUGAUCACUACUUUUUGGUUUCCUAGUUGUGAUUAUUUUCUAUGACCGACAGACCCGGGAACCAUCGUAAUUAAGGUCAAAUUGAUCAUAUUAAAAGAAGAAGAAGAAAUUACACGAAUGAUCGAAUUACCAAAUUAAUACAUACAAGUAGUUUUAAGUGCAUCGACCGACAGAGAAAAUCUUAGGUAGUUCGUUGAAAUGACGGUUCUAGCUAGGCCCGAUCGCGUAGAUGUUUUUCGUUCCUUAUCUGGAGGUCAUACAUUUCGAAAUUUGAUUUGUUUCACUACUCAGUCACUUUUUUGUAUUUGUUGUGUUAGGUGUGAGCUGUUUUUGUAGUAAUUGUUGAUUUGUUGUGUCAUGUUUGAAGGUGUUCUCACACGACGCAUUUUUAUUCAUUUUGUGUAAAUUUUGGCAUCGUGUCAGAGAAUCUUUGAGUGCAAAUUUUUGUAUCUAGUGACGAUGAUUUGUCUAGUAGUGGAAGUGGCGGAGGGAGGGCCAAACUUUGUUUAUAAAAGCUUAUAAAAUGUGCUUAAAGUAAGAUUUUGCAAAAAAAGUAAGUUUGAAGGAAGUGGAGGUGGGAGGGCAAAUAAAUAAAAAUAAAAUUGAGUAGUAUUUUGAGGAAUAAGCUUGGAGGAAAGUGGAGGAGGGAGGGCAAAACAAAAAACAAAAACAUGUGUUUAAUAAAAGCAGCUGUUUUUAGUAAAAUUUAAAUUUUAGAGUAACUGAAAGUUAAGUCUUAAAUGUUUAUGUAUUUUUCGCUGCAACUAAACGAAGUUUUUCAAGUUUAAUUUUUGCACAAGUAGGAAUUUUGUGUGUUUAGCAUCAAGUCCCAUAAGCUAUUUUCUGAGUAGAUGCAAUGUUUAGAAAAAAAAGUAAAUUUUGUUUCAAAAAUGCUUAUGCGAGUAUUUCAGUCUAGUCCCAAAAUUUGGAACAACCAAUCCAGGAAAAGAUAGUGCUGAAAAGAGAAGAACUGACGUGGAUAAACAAGUUUAAGUAUAGUAAUUCAAUAUUGAUCAUUAAUUGAUAAAUUAGUAAUAUUUUGUUUGGAAGUGGAGGUGGGAGGGCCAAAAAAAACCAAAUUUUUGUAAAACAUUUAGGCUUUAUUAAAUGAGUUUCAAGUA
Molecule: long non-coding RNA, 27608 nt
Organism: Zophobas morio
Lineage: Eukaryota; Metazoa; Arthropoda; Insecta; Coleoptera; Tenebrionidae
Exons: 3
Source: RefSeq, a predicted model, not a curated record